AAAAGACCAUGUGAGGAGAUAGCAAGAAUACCCUAUCUGCAAGCCAUGGAGAGGUCUCAGCAGAAACCAAAACUGCCAACAACUUAAUCUUGGACUUCUAUCCUCUAUAAAUUGUCCAAAAGACAGAAGAAGCAUCUGAUGGGCUGAGCCUUGGUCAAACCCAAUUUCUAUCUGCCAGCUAAAUUGAGUCAUAUCCUUGAAUAGAGAGGAGAAAAAUAACCAAAUGCAAGAAUUUACCCUGUUGUGUGAAUGCAACCCAAAUGUGGUUCAAGAUAUUCUCAACAAUUGCCUUGUACUGAGACACUCAGCACUUUGUUGGUUCUCUAGAAUACAUCCAAGUUUAUAAUAUAGUGAGA
This 356-nucleotide long non-coding RNA is filed under the name Homo sapiens (human). RNAcentral's name for it is "HSALNT0307684". Lineage: Eukaryota; Metazoa; Chordata; Mammalia; Primates; Hominidae. The record is from RNAcentral.